UACGUAGGGUGCAAGCGUUGUCCGGAAUUAUUGGGCGUAAAGAGCUCGUAGGCGGUCUGUCGCGUCUGCUGUGAAAACUCGGGGCUUAACCCCGGGCCUGCAGUGGGUACGGGCAGACUAGAGUGCGGUAGGGGAGAUCGGAAUUCCUGGUGUAGCGGUGAAAUGCGCAGAUAUCAGGAGGAACACCGGUGGCGAAGGCGGAUCUCUGGGCCGUAACUGACGCUGAGGAGCGAAAGCAUGGGGAGCGAACAGG
Molecule: ribosomal RNA, 253 nt
Filed under: uncultured bacterium
Lineage: Bacteria
Description: partial 16S ribosomal RNA
Rfam family: Bacterial small subunit ribosomal RNA
Source: RNAcentral